RNAcentral lists this small nuclear RNA (23 nucleotides) under Arabidopsis thaliana (thale cress). RNAcentral's name for it is "snRNA_17959". Lineage: Eukaryota; Viridiplantae; Streptophyta; Magnoliopsida; Brassicales; Brassicaceae. The record is from RNAcentral.
CAUGGGCUUGUCCAGUCCAAAUG